Molecule: ribosomal RNA, 407 nt
Filed under: uncultured picoeukaryote
Lineage: Eukaryota
Description: bacterial SSU rRNA
Rfam family: Eukaryotic small subunit ribosomal RNA
Source: RNAcentral
ACAUGGAUAACCGUGGUAAUUCUAGAGCUAAUACAUGCAGUAAAACCUGACUUUUUGAAAAGGUUGUAUUUAUUAAAUAUCAAACCAAUAUUCCUUCGGGUCUAUGGUGAUGAUUCAUAAUAACUGAUCGAAGCUUAGCUAGGCUAAACUAAAUCAUUCUUUUUUCUGCCCUAUCUACUUUCUAUGGUAUUGUAUUGGACUACCAUGGCAGUCACGGGUAACGGGGAAUUACGGUUCGAUUCCGGAAAGGGAACCUGAGAAAAGGCUACCACAUCUAAGGAAGGCGGCAGGAACGUAAAUUACCCAAUCCUGACUCAGGGAGGAAGUGACAAAAAAUAACAACUCCGGACCUCUCAGCUUACUAGAUUGCAAUGAAAACAAUUUAAACCACUUAUAUAGGAACAAUU